AAAGGUGCACUGACAGUGGCUAGAGACAUAAAAUCAACAGAUUGCACAACCCUUACACAGUUCACCCUGCUCUGUGCUCCCUCGACAGGCUAAUGUUGUGAAAACAGUGUUCAUCCUAUCCUACCUGACCUCGGACUCAGUGAUGUCAUCAGUACCAUCCUCCAGUUCAUCGACAGCUCUUCAGUAUUACAGAAGCUCCUAAACAAGUUUUCUCUGAGACUGUUUUAAUUACAGCCAAAGCGACUCUGAGAUCCAGCUCUGAGUUCAAGAAGAAGGGUGUGUGGACCGAGGAGUGUGGCUGGUGAUCCAACUGAAAGCUCUGCCACAC
This 328-nucleotide long non-coding RNA is filed under the name Carassius auratus (goldfish). Its description in RNAcentral is "lncRNA (ENSCARG00000010919.1)". The record is from RNAcentral. Lineage: Eukaryota; Metazoa; Chordata; Actinopteri; Cypriniformes; Cyprinidae.